Molecule: ribosomal RNA, 253 nt
Filed under: uncultured bacterium
Lineage: Bacteria
Description: partial 16S ribosomal RNA
Rfam family: Bacterial small subunit ribosomal RNA
Source: RNAcentral
UACGGAGGAUCCAAGCGUUAUCCGGAAUCAUUGGGUUUAAAGGGUCCGUAGGUGGAUGAUUAAGUCAGAGGUGAAAUCCUGCAGCUCAACUGUAGAAUUGCCUUUGAAACUGGUCAUCUUGAAUCAUUAUGAAGUGGUUAGAAUAUGUGGUGUAGCGGUGAAAUGCAUAGAUAUCACAUAGAAUACCGAUUGCGAAGGCAGAUCACUAAUAAUGUAUUGACACUGAUGGACGAAAGCGUGGGGAGCGAACAGG